Pelobates cultripes (western spadefoot toad) is the source of this 973-nucleotide non-coding RNA. NCBI's taxonomy places the organism in Eukaryota, Metazoa, Chordata, Amphibia, Anura, Pelobatidae. The record is from the annotation of a GenBank genome assembly.
UAUAUAAGUUUUGCUGGUUCUGGCAACAAAAUAUGUAGGUAAGGCCAAUUUUCCUGUAUAUCCCUUGGCACUAAUUUCAGACAGAACAAAUGGACACUUAAGCCUCCAAUUCUAGACCCAGGCAAAGUUUGUGUCCUGUUCUUUCCGUCUACCAAGGUGGCGAGAGUGAGUUUCACUCCUGGCCUGAGAGUUUGGUUGUAUCCUACACCAACAAGGCUAGAAUUAUCCACCUUUGCAGAGAUGGAGGCGUUUGAGUCCAACUGGUAUUUGGCUCCAAUUCCAAAGCGAGUGCUGUUGUUACCAGAUGUCCAGGCAAGGCUGACUGAGGUUUCCAUUUUGUCGCUAACCUUCUGGUAGAUAGAUCCUGCAAAUUCUGAACCGUCAUUGACGCUGGUGUGGAGCUGGAAAUCUCCUGUCUUGUAACCAACAGCAAAGUUAUUCUUGGUCAGCUUUGAUUUGGCACUAUCAAAUGUCAUUUGGUAGCCAGCAAGCCAACCCUCAUAACCCACAACUGCAGAUCCAUGGAUAGCAGGGCCAGCAAAAUCAAAGACCACAUCACAGCCUAAGUUUACAUAUUCACGCUUGUAAGCAGCCUUAACUUUACCACUCUUUUUCCCAGUGUUUGGGAAAAAAGUUGUGUCAAAUGUCAACUUCAAGCCCUUUGCAAUCUGUUCUUCAAUGGUGAUUUCUGUUCCCAAAGUGUUGUCAGUGUUCCACUUUUCUGUGAAAGUCAGGCCAUAUUCUCCCCAUUUAUAUUUGGUCUCUCGGCUGCCAUUUACUUUGCCGGUAUCUGUGUUAGAUGAUCCAGAUGUUGUAAAUUCCACUCCACUUGCAGACUUGGUCUUUACAUCGAGUUUCACUAGGCCAAAACCAAAUCCUUUGCCAAAAAUAUCUCUGGCAGAUUUGCCAAGAUCAGUAUAUGAUGGAGGUACAGCCAUUGUUUCUUUGCUGGGCGAUGCGCGGCCUGCUGUGU